RNAcentral lists this transfer RNA (69 nucleotides) under Gryllus bimaculatus (two-spotted cricket). Its description in RNAcentral is "tRNA-Trp". It matches the Rfam family "tRNA". From Rfam's summary of the family: Transfer RNA (tRNA) molecules are approximately 80 nucleotides in length. Their secondary structure includes four short double-helical elements and three loops (D, anti-codon, and T loops). Lineage: Eukaryota; Metazoa; Arthropoda; Insecta; Orthoptera; Gryllidae. The record is from RNAcentral.
UAAGGUCUUAAGUUAAUUAAACUAUUAGCCUUCAAAGCUGAAAAUGAAAAUCCCUAUUUUAGGCCUUAG